AACGAACGCUGGCGGCAUGCCUAACACAUGCAAGUCGAACGAGACCUUCGGGUCUAGUGGCGCACGGGUGCGUAACGCGUGGGAACCUGCCCUUAGGUUCGGAAUAACUCCCCGAAAGGGGUGCUAAUACCGGAUAAUGUCUUCGGACCAAAGAUUUAUCGCCUUUGGAUGGGCCCGCGUUGGAUUAGCUAGUUGGUAGGGUAAAAGCCUACCAAGGCGACGAUCCAUAGCUGGUCUGAGAGGAUGAUCAGCCACACUGAGACUGAGACGCGGCCCAGACUCCUACGGGAGGCAGGAGUGGGGAAUAUUGGAAAACGGGCGAAAGCAUGAACCAGCAAGGCCGGGUGAGUGAUGAAGGCCGGAGGGUUGAAAAGCUCUUUUACACGGGAUGAUAAUGACGGUACCGGGAGAAUAAGCACCGGCUAACUCCGUG
This 433-nucleotide ribosomal RNA is filed under the name uncultured bacterium. RNAcentral's name for it is "partial 16S ribosomal RNA". It matches the Rfam family "Bacterial small subunit ribosomal RNA", at positions 29 to 507 of the family's 1533-position model. The record is from RNAcentral.